RNAcentral lists this long non-coding RNA (236 nucleotides) under Capsicum annuum. RNAcentral's name for it is "long non-coding RNA (CANN_LNC015590)". Lineage: Eukaryota; Viridiplantae; Streptophyta; Magnoliopsida; Solanales; Solanaceae. The record is from RNAcentral.
AUGAGAGCAAUUUCCAUCGCUUCUCGACUCUAUUGUUAUCUUUUCCAUCUGAACUUUGUACUCCAUCUUGAGUUUGUUGUUAUGUUGUAUUAGCGUUAUAUCUUUUUCAUGAUUAUCCACAAGUGUGUGGCGGUAUAGAGAUUAAGAUAUGUGGCGGUUUUGAAACUCUAUUUUUCUAUUAUUCCUGAAAUCAGAACCUUGGUUGUUUUGUGUUUACAUGCUCUUUUGGAUUUGGG